Molecule: transfer RNA, 73 nt
Filed under: Flemingia rhodocarpa
Lineage: Eukaryota; Viridiplantae; Streptophyta; Magnoliopsida; Fabales; Fabaceae
Description: tRNA-Glu
Source: RNAcentral
CUAAAUGAUGAAUCAAAAAUUUCUAUGGAAUUCUGAAAGAUGGAAAAAUUUUUUGGAUCGAAUCAUAUUAUUA